RNAcentral lists this ribosomal RNA (467 nucleotides) under uncultured bacterium. RNAcentral's name for it is "partial 16S ribosomal RNA". It matches the Rfam family "Bacterial small subunit ribosomal RNA", at positions 28 to 506 of the family's 1533-position model. The record is from RNAcentral.
GACGAACGCUGGCGGCGUGCUUAACACAUGCAAGUCGAACGGAAAGGCCCUGCUUUUGUGGGGUGCUCGAGUGGCGAACGGGUGAGUAACACGUGAGUAACCUGCCCUUGACUUUGGGAUAACUUCAGGAAACUGGGGCUAAUACCGGAUAGGAGCUCCUGCUGCAUGGUGGGGGUUGGAAAGUUUCGGCGGUUGGGGAUGGACUCGCGGCUUAUCAGCUUGUUGGGGGGGUAGUGGCUUACCAAGGCUUUGACGGGUAGCCGGCCUGAGAGGGUGACCGGCCACAUUGGGACUGAGAUACGGCCCAGACUCCUACGGGAGGCAGCAGUGGGGAAUAUUGCACAAUGGGCGGAAGCCUGAUGCAGCAACGCCGCGUGCGGGAUGACGGCCUUCGGGUUGUAAACCGCUUUCGCCUGUGACGAAGCGUGAGUGACGGUAAUGGGUAAAGAAGCACCGGCUAACUACGU